GGCGGGAGCGGAGCGCGGCGAGCGGAGGCGGCCAGCUGCGCCCGCGCCGCAGCCCCGGCCUCGGCGAGGGCGCGAAUAUUUUUUCAAACGACUCAAACUUUCCUUCCUUCCCUGCUUCCUGGGGUCCCUCUUGCCUGGAAUUGCUCUCCAGAUUCCCGCUGGGCGCCGGGGCGCGAUUCCUCCCUCGGGUGCCUCGGCGGCUCGGCUAACUUCGCGGACCCCAGGAGCCGAGUCGCUCUGCCAGUGGCCGAACCCAGCCCGCGCUGCUACCCCGCUCAAGAGGGCCAGGACUGAGGUUCCUUUGCAGCUGGCAGGUGCGCAGCCUGCCCCCUCAGGUCGGGCUGCUGAGCUCUCAGCACCGGGUGCAGGACUGGAGACAGCGAAUUAAGCCCAGAGGAACCCGGGUCUCCCUGCCCCCGCUCCGCGGAGGGGCGUCCCCUGGGCGGGGAAACGACAAGUUUGUCAGUCGUCGGUGGCCUGUUGGAGCCAAGCGCCGCCGCAGCAGCGGAGAGGUCUUUGGAGCCCAGCACCCCCAGCGGACAGCCCUGGGGACCCGGGGCGGCUCGGCGACCGGGCUUCUUGGGCCGGGGCGCUGGCUGCUGCGCCGGGCGCGCCAAGGCACCCGGGGCUGGGCCAGCGCCCCCUGCGUCCCCAUCAGUGCAGCGGCCCCACCGGAGAAACCCGGGUCGCCGCCGCCGUCACCGCCUACUCUUCAGUCCCCUGGUCGCCGCCCUCUCGGUCGCCUCUCAGGGAAAGAGGGGGACAUAGGGGGUGUCGCGGGGCCCCGGCGGAUGCGCCCCCCGCUGCCUCUCGGGCUGCGCCGCCUCGCGGGGAUGAAGCACCGGCCGUGAAGAUGGAGGUGACCUGCCUUCUACUUCUGGCGCUGAUCCCCUUCCACUGCCGGGGACAAG
RNAcentral lists this long non-coding RNA (911 nucleotides) under Marmota monax (woodchuck). The record is from RNAcentral. Lineage: Eukaryota; Metazoa; Chordata; Mammalia; Rodentia; Sciuridae.